ACGACUAAGGUUCAGUACGAUCUAAUAUCCUCAACAGGCCCGUUGAAUUGAGCUCAGUUAUUUGACUUAAUGUUUGAGCAAUUCUAGGAUGAUUUGAGGGCGGGGAAUGAUGGAUUUUGGAUUUGAGAAGCCUGGUGGUCAUUUGGUGUUAAUGUAGCGGUGAUUGGUGGUGGCACCGCCACCGGAGAAACUUAAGCAGCGCUAGGGUUUUCAGUUGUAAUUGAAUAUUUGAGAAAUUCUAGCCGAAUUUGAGGGAAAGUGGCCAGAUAUUUGGGAAGAAGGGGUCUAGGAGAGGUGGCG
Molecule: long non-coding RNA, 300 nt
Filed under: Nicotiana benthamiana
Lineage: Eukaryota; Viridiplantae; Streptophyta; Magnoliopsida; Solanales; Solanaceae
Description: long non-coding RNA (NBEN_LNC026000)
Source: RNAcentral